Molecule: ribosomal RNA, 805 nt
Filed under: uncultured marine bacterium
Lineage: Bacteria
Description: bacterial SSU rRNA
Rfam family: Bacterial small subunit ribosomal RNA
Source: RNAcentral
CAAUACUUAGUGGCAGACGGGUGAGUAACAUGUAGGUAUCUGCCCUUUGGCCUGGAAUAACACGAGGAAACUUGUGCUAAUACCGGAUAAGUCUUUACGGAGAAAGCUUUAUGCACCAUUGGAUGAGCCUGCACUUGAUUAGUUUGUUGGUGGGGUAAUGGCCUACCAAGACUGUGAUCAAUAGCUGAUUUGAGAGGAUGAUCAGCCACAUUGGGACUGAGACACGGCCCAAACUCCUACGGGAGGCAGCAGUGGGGAAUCUUGCACAAUGGAGGAAACUCUGAUGCAGCGAUGCCGCGUGAGUGAAGAAGGCCCUUGGGUUGUAAAGCUCUUUCGUCGGGGAAGAAAAUGACUGUACCCGAAUAAGAAGGUCCGGCUAACUUCGUGCCAGCAGCCGCGGUAAUACGAAGGGACCUAGCGUAGUUCGGAAUUACUGGGCUUAAAGAGUUCGUAGGUGGUUGAAAAAGUUAGUGGUGAAAUCCCAGAGCUUAACUCUGGAACUGCCAUUAAAACUUUUCAGCUAGAGUAUGAUAGAGGAAAGCAGAAUUUCUAGUGUAGUGGUGAAAUUCGUGGAUAUUAGAAAGAAUACCAAUUGCGAAGGCAGCUUUCUGGAUCAUUACUGACACUGAGGAACGAAAGCAUGGGUAGCGAAGAGGAUUAGAUACCCUCGUAGUCCAUGCCGUAAACGAUGUGUGUUAGACGUUGGAAAUUUAUUUUCAGUGUCGCAGGGAAACCGAUAAACACACCGCCUGGGGAGUACGACCGCAAGGUUAAAACUCAAAUGAAUUGACGGGGACCCGCACAA